Molecule: ribosomal RNA, 425 nt
Filed under: uncultured bacterium
Lineage: Bacteria
Description: partial 16S ribosomal RNA
Rfam family: Bacterial small subunit ribosomal RNA
Source: RNAcentral
GUGGGGAAUCUUAGACAAUGGGGGAAACCCUGAUCUAGCCAUGCCGCGUGAGCGAUGAAGGCCUUAGGGUUGUAAAGCUCUUUCAGCUGGGAAGAUAAUGACGGUACCAGCAGAAGAAGCCCCGGCUAACUCCGUGCCAGCAGCCGCGGUAAUACGGAGGGGGCUAGCGUUGUUCGGAAUUACUGGGCGUAAAGCGCGCGUAGGCGGACCAGAAAGUUGGAGGUGAAAUCCCAGGGCUCAACCUUGGAACUGCCUUCAAAACUCCUGGUCUGGAGUUCGAGAGAGGUGAGUGGAAUUCCGAGUGUAGAGGUGAAAUUCGUAGAUAUUCGGAGGAACACCAGUGGCGAAGGCGGCUCACUGGCUCGAUACUGACGCUGAGGUGCGAAAGCGUGGGUAGCAAACAGGAUUAGAUACCCGAGUAGUCC